Molecule: microRNA precursor, 118 nt
Filed under: Chlorocebus sabaeus (green monkey)
Lineage: Eukaryota; Metazoa; Chordata; Mammalia; Primates; Cercopithecidae
Description: microRNA 518c (ENSCSAG00000021730.1)
Rfam family: mir-515 microRNA precursor family (bases 14-100)
Source: RNAcentral
UGGAGCAAGAAGAUCUCAUGCUGUGACUCUCUGGAGGGAAGCGCUUUCUGUUGUCUGAAAGAAAACAAAUCGCUUCUCUUCAGAGUGUUUCGGUUUGAGAAAAGCAACGUGGAAGUUG